This is an RNA transcript of Vicia villosa (hairy vetch), 1711 nucleotides long. It is a transcript of the gene named cysteine-rich receptor-like protein kinase 11, with no coding region annotated. The transcript is spliced from 4 exons. NCBI's taxonomy places the organism in Eukaryota, Viridiplantae, Streptophyta, Magnoliopsida, Fabales, Fabaceae. The record is from RefSeq and is a predicted model, not a curated record.
CUUUCCCUCUCAUCCAAUGCUUCUCUCUAACAUGAAGAUAGGAAAGGAAACCCUAGCUGAACCUCACCGUCCCUCACCCUCAUCGAUCACCACCGCCCCUCACCCUCUUCUCAUCAAUCACCACCGACGAUUACACCUCCGGAGAGGCCUCUCCGUUUUAGGAUGAAGAUAUCCAUUUUAGUGUUACUUAAGUGUCAUAUGGCAUUGAGUUUGUCAUAUAGAUUCCGUUAAAGACACCGUGUUAAUGACUUGUUUGUUCGCAUAUUUUUCUAUUAUUAUUAGAGUUCGGAGGUAUGAUGAUGAGUACUUUGCUUUAGAAUCACAAAUAGUAGCUAUUAAGCCCUCUAGUGAUAUUUCAAUAUUCAUCGUGAAAGUGGCAAGAAUGUCAUAUGUGAUAAGUUUGCCGAAGAGGGUACAAUUUCAAUAGGUGAAACCUAUCUCCACUAGACAUUCUUGGCACCUUCCACGAUCAAUAUAAAAAUAUCACAAGAUGGCUUAAGGGCUAUUAUUUCUGCUUCCAAAACAAAGUCAUCAUCAUCCCGCCUCCGAACUCUAAUAAUGUUAACUUGUCUUUUAGUAUUAAAAAUAUGAGAACAACUCAUUAACAAGGUAAAGUCCUCUUUCACGGAAUCUAUGGCAAACCCUGAGCCAUAUGGAAGAGAAGUCACAAUCCAUAGGAGAAAGUAGUGGGAUCUCAAGAGGGACAACUUUGCAAUUGUGGUUCCAAUUGCAUUGGCCCGCUGCAAUUGAUCAUACUCCUAAAAGUAAGAGUGUGAAUUGAAAAGUCCUUAAUUAAAAGAGCGAGCAAGAAGAAGAAUGACUUUGCAGCGCAAGGUCCAAAAAGUAAGAGUGUGAAUUGAAAAGACCUUACUCCUAGUUUGUUUCUUAUUUGCAUAAUCUGCUGUUAUAAUUUUAUAUGAUAGACCUACCACUUUUGCUUAUUAGCUGAAACUAUAUUACCACGGUGGAAUCCUUGAGAUUUGAUUUGAGUACAGUUGAAGAAGCCACAAACAAAUUCUCAUAAGCUAAUAAGCUAGGUGAAGGUGGGUUUGGGGAGGUUUACAAGGGCGUGCUUUCGAGUGGACAACUAAUAGCUGUCAAGAGACUCUCCAAACACUCGGGACAAGGCGGAGAACAAUUUAAGAAUGAAGGUGAACUGGUUGCACAAGUUCAACAUAGAAAUUUAGCUAGGCUUCUUGGGUUUUGCAUGGAAAGAGAAGAAAAGAUACUUGUUUAUGAAUUUGUAGCCAACAAAAGUCCUGACUAUAUUCUUUUUGAUCCUAAUAAACAAAGGCUGUUGGAUUGGACAAGGCACUACAAGAUUAUUGGAGGGAUUGCUCGAGGCAUUCAACAUCUUUAUGAAGAUUCAAGGGUUAAAAUUAUUCAUCGUGAUCUCAAAGCUAGCACGUAUUGUUGGAAUCCGAACAUCUCUGAUUUUGGCAUGGCAAAAUUAUUUGGAGUCGAUCAAACUCAAGGCAACGCUUCCUGAAUUAAAAGAUGUUGUUUUUAUGUUUUCUUUGAUCGGUCCAGUGUAUGUUAAAAUCUUGUCAAACUUUGGUGUAGCAGAUACAUUUAGCUAGUUUGUAUAAAUUGUAAAUACUAUGAACUGAUUAUAUAUAACUAUAGUAGAGACUUCAGUGAGAAGUCACUAUCUGAUCACCAAUAAACAAAUGAAGUUCCAAUGCAAGGAAUGUUGGUAACUUUCCAUCAA